Molecule: long non-coding RNA, 385 nt
Filed under: Setaria viridis
Lineage: Eukaryota; Viridiplantae; Streptophyta; Magnoliopsida; Poales; Poaceae
Description: long non-coding RNA (SVIR_LNC006401)
Source: RNAcentral
AACCGUUCAUAUUCUUCACAACCAGAAACUAAACUCAGGUCCCAUAUUAGCAACUUCGUUACAUGAAGGUAGCAAGCAGGUAGGAAAAGCAAAAGGCAACUCAUGUCCCAACUUAGCAUGAAUCCUGGCGUCCGGAGGCACACCAUUUCACAUUUUAUUCUCUGCAUAGACAAGCAGCGGGGCCGUUCCACGACCGCAAAGGCCUAGGGAAGGAACCAUGGAGCGGAGAUGACGCUCUACUGGGUCUUGAACAUGUGGCGGAUCAGGUCGACAACACGGUUGCUGUAGCCCCACUCGUUGUCGUACCAGGAGACAAGCUUGACGAAGUUGUCGUUCAGAGCAAUUCCAGCCUUGGCGUCGAAGAUGCUCGACCUAAGUGGAAACA